Molecule: non-coding RNA, 789 nt
Filed under: Pseudogymnoascus sp. VKM F-4281 (FW-2241)
Lineage: Eukaryota; Fungi; Ascomycota; Leotiomycetes; Thelebolales; Thelebolaceae
Description: Bacterial small subunit ribosomal RNA
Rfam family: Bacterial small subunit ribosomal RNA
Source: Rfam by way of RNAcentral
AUAUAUUUGAGUUUGAUGAUGGCUCUGAAUGAACGCUGUCCAAAUGCUUGACACAUGCUAAUCGUACGUUUAAUAUAAUAUAAUAGUGUAAACUAUUUAUUUAAUUAAAAGUGGUGUACAGGUGAGUAUAUGAUAUUUUGGCUACCUUAAAGUAAGGCUAAUAAAUACCUUAUAAAGAAAAGGAAUAAAACUUCCGCUUUAAGAUGACAAUAAAUAUCUCGGAUAGGUAGUAGUUAAGGUAAUGACUUAACUAGCUUAAAAUUCCGUAAUCGAGGCUGAGAGGUCCAUCGAUCACAUUGGGUCUGAAAAAACCCCAAUACGUAUAGUACAGCAGUGAGGAAUAUUGGUCAAUAGCCUAACGGCUGAACCAGCAACUUGGAAGAACGUAAAGCUUCGGCUUGUGAAACCUAAAAAUAAUGGUGAGCAUCGACUAUGUCGAAUAAAGUUCUAGAUAUUAUAUUGAUUAUGACAAUUUUUUAUCUAUUUGUCUUGACCAAAAUACGUGCCAGCAGUCGCGGUAAUACGUAAAAGACAAGUGUUAUUCAUCUUUAAUAGGUUUAAAGGGUACCUAGACGGUAUUAUUAGCCCAAAAAAGGGUACGGUUAUACUAGAGUUUUAUAGGAGAAGGAAGUAUUUAUGGAGGAGAGUUUAUAUUUCAUUAUACCUUAAAGACUGGUAAAGGCGAAAGCAACCUUCUAUCUAAUAACUGACGUUGAGGUACGAAGGCCUGGGUAGCAAACAGGAUUAGAUACCCUAGUAGUCCAGGCAGAGAAUUAUGAAUGCCAUAUG